This 978-nucleotide ribosomal RNA is filed under the name uncultured bacterium. RNAcentral describes it as "bacterial SSU rRNA". It matches the Rfam family "Bacterial small subunit ribosomal RNA", at positions 38 to 987 of the family's 1533-position model. The record is from RNAcentral.
AACGGUGUGCUUAAUACAUGCAAGUCGAACGAGCAAUGUGAGAGUGGCAACACUCCUGCAAAGCUAGUGGCGAACGGGUGAGUAACGCGUAGGUAAUCUACCUUAGAGAUUAGGAUAACCUUUCGAAAGGAAGGCUAAUACUAAAUAUUUUAUAUUUUUCGUAUGAUUAAUAUAACAAAGGUAGCCGCAAGGCCUCCGCUUUAAGAUGAGCCUGCGCCCUAUUAGCUUGUUGGUAAGGUAAUGGCUUACCAAAGCUAUGAUGGGUAGCCGGCCUGAGAGGGUGAUCGGCCACACUGGGACUGAGAUACGGCCCAGACUCCUACGGGAGGCAGCAGUAGGGAAUAUUGCGCAAUGGGCGAAAGCCUGACGCAGCGACACCGUGUGAAGGAUGAAGGUCUUCGGAUCGUAAACUUCUGUCAAUCGGGGACGAAGGUAAUAAGGUUAAUAGCCUUUAUUAUUGACGGUACCCAAUAAGGAAGUCUCGGCUAACUCCGUGCCAGCAGCCGCGGUAAGACGGAGGAGGCAGGCGUUGUCCGGAAUCAUUGGGCGUAAAGAGCGCGUAGGCGGUUUUUCAAGUCGUAUGUGAAAACUUCAGGCUUAACCUGAUGAUUGCAUAUGAAACUGGAUAACUUGAGUACAGCAGAGGAAAGUGGAAUUCCUGGUGUAGCGGUGAAAUGUGCAGAUAUCAGGAAGAACACCGGUAGCGAAGGCGGCUUUCUGGGCUGUAACUGACGCUGAGGCGCGAAAGCUAGGGGAGCGAACAGGAUUAGAUACCCUGGUAGUCCUAGCCGUAAACGAUGGACACUAGGUGUGGGAAGUUAUCGACGCUUUCUGUGCCGAAGCUAACGCAUUAAGUGUCCCGCCUGGGGAGUACGGCCGCAAGGCUAAAACUCAAAGGAAUUGACGGGGGCCCGCACAAGCGGCGGAGCAUGUGGCUUAAUUCGACGCAACGCGAAGAACCUUACCAAGGCUUGACAU